Long non-coding RNA from Mustela lutreola (European mink), 2210 nucleotides. RefSeq lists it as uncharacterized. The record is from RefSeq and is a predicted model, not a curated record. NCBI's taxonomy places the organism in Eukaryota, Metazoa, Chordata, Mammalia, Carnivora, Mustelidae. The transcript is spliced from 6 exons.
CUCCAGAAAGGAGGCUGCAGAGAGCAGAGACCCAAUGCGCGAUGCUCCUUCCUGCCCAAGGGUCUCCCUCCUGCCCGGAGCUCGGUCCCUGGCUGAGGGAGGCGAGGUGUGCCGCCCUCUACCCGCCCCCCACCCCCCCAACGCACCAGGGCAUCCGGGGAAAGGUGCAAGGGGCCGAGGUCAGAGAACACAGCUCUGGAAGACAGCACUCUUGGAAACACCCUUCCAGAACCCCUUUCCCAGUUCCGGUCUGCAAAGCAGAGCAGAAGAGAUUGAGAAUCGCCCAGUCCCCGGACGUUUCUUCAGGAGCCUGGAGAUCCCGCCCGCCUGACUGUGAGGUUUCGGAUCGCCUACUCCCAAAGCUGGCCAGCAGGAGCAGCCCCUGUUCCUCCCGAGUGACCCAGCCCUGAGCUACAAACCAUCCCUCCCAGGCCCCCUGUGCCAGUUGCUUCUGAAAACAGAAACAAGCCUUCUUCAGAGAUGGACGUGGCUCCUGGCGGACGGGGCUGCCAAGUCCCUGGAAGAGCUGGCGUGGGGGGCAGCAGCGUCCUACCCCCCGCAGGAGGCGGCAGGGUUCCUGGAGCAGGCCUGUCUGCCGGGGGCGGGGGGCUGGGGCUCCUGCCUGCAGAUGCCCAUGUUUACCCAAGAUGGGCUGGAGGGACCUGGAUGCUGGUUCUGGAGCCCACUUCUCAGGAACUGGGACAGCUGUCCCUGGACAGCCACCAAGACUCUGGCUUGCAGACUGAGAUGGAGUGUUGAGCGCGUGGCAGUGGCACAGACGCUCUAGCAUUUGGCCUAUGUUAUAAGACACUGCCGGAAGCCGCUCCAAGGAGUUGGAACUUACUGCAAAGAAUGGGUUAGGGGACUAGGCUUCAUUGGCAUCCUGCCCCCCAGCUAACAGCCUUCCUCCCAGUGUUCCAGGGAGGGGCUCAUUGUUACCCAGUGAUGGCCACCCUGAUGUCCUCCCCCUAGCCCCCAGCCAACUCGGAGACCCCACCCCUCUGGUCCACCUCCUGGAAAGUGGGCAUAACUUCUGGUAGAACCCAAGGUGUAAAUAUCCUAAUUGGCAUCUUAGUAGGAGCAGAAAAGCCCAUUGUUAUGGAAGAGAAAUCUCCCAAUUCCCCACCAAUUAAUCUUUGGCUACGGGAGGCUCGUGCUUACCAUAUCAAUGGGCUGGGGCUCUGGAGUGAGUUGAAGAAGGUAGGGGGGACAGUGACAGCAGCAGGUGAGGCAGCGGUCCUCUCUGAGCUGGAGAACCCCAUCCUCCUAGGGUCAGUGCUCCCGCCACCCCCUGGAGGGUGUCCCCACCGUGAGGACAGCUGCUGGUGGUCCAUCCCUGGGGAGGCUACUGUGGCGGAGGACUGUGGUGGACAUUGGUUGUUUCUUUCCUUUGUGGGGCUCAGCAGCAUCCCAGAUGCUUUGCUCAUAGUAUGGGAAUUUCCCCAUCAUCUGAGUCUUGGUGGGAGGCAGAGUGUGCUUUCCUCUAAAGGAAUGGAAAAUUCCAGCUACUUGCUUUCCAAGCAGGGCUGGCGUAUGCCCCUGGCUGGGCCAGUCUGGCCCUCCCACCUCAGCUGACCCACGCAGGAGGCAGGUGUUGGUGGCGGGAACAGAUGAUUCCGGGGAUGGCCGCUCGUGGGACUGGUGGGUGGUGCUGUCCGAGGGACAGGAGUUCUCUUCUGUGACCCGAUUUUGCUGGUGCUCCUGGCCGCAAAGUCGAUCGUCCGUUCACCCAUUUUCCAAGUCUCAUUUCACGAUGACCUUCCUGAUAACUGGGAGGCACUGGACAUCUUUUAAAUAAAAUCAUGUUCUGCUUAAAUCUGCCAGAAUCAGUUCUGUUGCUUGGAAAUAACACAUCUGACGGCAACAAUGCAUCUUAUGGGGCAGAACAAGAGAUGAGGAAGCCGUGGGCUCUGAGCCUUACUCACCAGCCAGUGGCAGAACUGGAUUUGAAGCCAAGCCUUGCGGUCCCGCCUUCGGGUUCUUGCUGGGGGCCACGCUGCUCUAGGUGCCUUGGCUAAGCAAAGCAGGUUUCCACCUUAUGGAACAUGUCCUCCUCUGUCUGGAUCACUGCCACUCCUCUGAUCUCCCAGAUGGGGCCAGGUCCCUCAGACACCCUUGCUUCCUGCCCUUCACAAGAGUCCGCAUUUGACACCUCCCCUGCCACAGAAUGAAUCUAUCUUCACAAAGUAGGAAAGGGAGACGAAGAUUUG